UACGAAGGUGGCAAGCGUUACUCGGAAUUACUAGGCGUAAAGGGCAGGUAGGUGGUCUGAUAAGUCUGUUGUGAAAGCUCCUGGCUUAACUGGGAGAGGUCAACAGAUACUGUCAGGCUUGAGUAUGGGAGAGGGUACUGGAAUUCCUGGUGUAGCGGUGAAAUGCGCAGAGAUCAGGAGGAACACCGAUGGCGAAAGCAGGUACCUGGACCAUUACUGACACUCAGCUGCGAAAGCUAGGGGAGCAAACAGG
Molecule: ribosomal RNA, 253 nt
Filed under: uncultured bacterium
Lineage: Bacteria
Description: partial 16S ribosomal RNA
Rfam family: Bacterial small subunit ribosomal RNA
Source: RNAcentral